AGGACGAACGCUGGCGGCGUGCUUAACACAUGCAAGUCGAGCGGAAAGGCCCUUCGGGGUACUCGAGCGGCGAACGGGUGAGUAACACGUGAGUAAUCUGCCCCUAGCUCUGGGAUAGCUCCGGGAAACCGGGAUUAAUACCAGAUACGACCACUUUAGACAUCUGUUGUGGUGGAAAGAAUUUCGGCUAGGGAUGAGCUCGCGGCCUAUCAGCUUGUUGGUGAGGUAACGGCUCACCAAGGCGACGACGGGUAGCCGGCCUGAGAGGGCGACCGGCCACACUGGGACUGAGACACGGCCCAGACUCCUACGGGAGGCAGCAGUGGGGAAUAUUGCGCAAUGGGCGAAAGCCUGACGCAGCGACGCCGCGUGGGGGAUGAAGGCUUCGGUGUAAACCCUUCAGCAGGACGAAGCGAAAGUGACGGUACCUGCAGAAGAAGACGCCGGCUAACUACGUGCCAGCAGCCGC
Molecule: ribosomal RNA, 469 nt
Filed under: uncultured bacterium
Lineage: Bacteria
Description: SSU rRNA
Rfam family: Bacterial small subunit ribosomal RNA
Source: RNAcentral